RNAcentral lists this unclassified non-coding RNA (1952 nucleotides) under Sitophilus oryzae (rice weevil). Its description in RNAcentral is "uncharacterized LOC115875542, transcript variant X2". The record is from RNAcentral. Lineage: Eukaryota; Metazoa; Arthropoda; Insecta; Coleoptera; Curculionidae.
UUGAAGUAUACCGAAUUAUUCAUUAAGAUGUUCGUGUAAUUCUCAGAACCGCCUUCCUUGCUCUAAUAAAAUCGUAUAUUGUGUUUCAGACAGUAUUUAACCGAGACCGAAAAUGUCGGACAGAUCGAAAAAAAUGCUAGCGUUGGGCAGAGCUAAUCAGCAGCUAUCAGCACGAUUCAAGAUCGCGCCAAAACGUAAAACAAAUACUGAUUUAGAUAAUGAUGCCAUUUUCAAAGAUCCAGACUACGAACCUAGUAGCAGCGGAGUUAAAAAAAAAAAAAUUUGUUCAGAUAAGAAAUUAAACAAUAAGAAGCAUGUACGACGAUUGUUUGAUUCCCCGGCUAAAAUGACCGCAUGCGACCAUAACAAGCCAGAAAACAAUAAUAUAGAACCCUCGGUAGAAAUAUCAGAACAUAUUUUACCAGCGAUUGAAAGAAAUGUAGAGCAAAGUUCUAAAGGAUAUGAAAGAAUUAAUAUAGUGUCCAACAUCUCAAUUCGUACAGUAACUGAUAAAAGUUCAGAAGAUAUUGCCAGGGAAGUUUUGACCAAUAUAAUUAAUAAUGCUAUAGAAAUUGGCGAAAAGAUUAAACAGAAAAUGUAUACAAAGAAAGGAACUAUUCGAAAAAGAAUUAAAUUUGAAACCACACUGAAAGAAAGAAAAAAUAAUAAGAAUAAGGACAGACUUGCGAAGUUUGUCCUCAGAGAAACAUGUGCGAGUGGGUGUGUACGUAAAUGUUCAGAAGUCAUCAAUAAAGGGAGACAAAUGAAUAUUCAUUCUCAGUAUUGGCAAUUGAACCAAACCCAACAACACCAGUUCAUAUUUACUGCCGCAAAGAAAACCAUGAAAAAAAAAGAAAUGUGUAGGAGAAAACUCUAGAAGGAAUAAAACGAUAAAAUAUUACUUAAAAGACGAGCAAGGCAUAGAUUUUCAAGUGUGCAAAAAGUUUUUUUAGGAACGUUAGGGUAUCAGUAUAAAAAUGAUCGCAUCGUAAGGGAUGUUCUCUCAAAAACUUCACCAGAGGAACUUACAGUACAACCUUCCAAGAAAGGUCACCCAUCGGAAAAAAAAGUAGAUAGGACAGCCAUAUCGGAUCAUAUAAAAUCUUUUAAACCCACAAUUUCACAUUAUCGGCGAGAACAUGCUCCAAAUAGGCUCUAUCUCCCGAGUGAUAUAAAUAUUAAAAUGAUGUAUGAAGACUUUUUGGUCAAAAAUUCUGACUAUAAGAUUUCUUACGAACUCUAUAGACAAGAAGUAAAAAACAUGAAUAUAUCGUUUGCAGUGCUUGGCAAUGAAGAAUGUUGGCAAUGUGAAUCCUUCAAUAAUCAUGCUAGAGCCUCACCCCACUCUAAAGAGAAUAUAAUUUUUGAUUGCGAGCACUGCAAGAUAUUUGACGAACAUAAUAAAAAUGCCAUUCUAGCACGCCAAGAAUACAAAAAAGAUGCGUUGCUUAAUAAUACUUGUGAAUCAACAAGUGUAUUCGUUUCCGUCGAUUUACAGAAGGUUAUUAUGCUUCCAAGAUGUGAUAUGUUCAAAGAAAUAAUAUUUGUUCCAAGAAUAAUUUGCUUUAACGAAAGUUUUGUCCCUCUUGGCAAACAAACCAAAACUAAACAGCCAGUCGCUGUUAUCUGGCACGAGGGUACUGCAGGACGAUCACAAGGUGAUAUAAUAUCAACAUUCAAUAAAUUUUUGCUUCUGAACAGAGAUGCGAUAGAGAUUACAAUAUGGAUGGAUAACUGCGCAGCUCAGAAUAAGAACUGGAUGCUGUACUCUUUUUUUGUCUACUUUAUAAAUUCAAAACAAACAUCUCUGAAGCAAAUUAAAUUAAAAUAUCUGCAAACGGGUCACACGUUCAUGAGUGCCGAUUCCUUUCACCACCAGGUAGAGAAAUCUUUAAAACAAAAAGGAAAAGUUUUAGAUUUUGAAGAUUAUAAGAAUUGUAUUCAAUCAUCAA